GGAUAUUGCUCAAUUGGUAGAGUGCUUGCUUCAGAUACACAAGGCCCUGGGUUCAAUUCCCAGCACCA
Molecule: transfer RNA, 68 nt
Filed under: Marmota monax (woodchuck)
Lineage: Eukaryota; Metazoa; Chordata; Mammalia; Rodentia; Sciuridae
Description: tRNA.Leu
Source: RNAcentral